ACGCAAUAGGGAUUGAAGUGAAAAUCCUUUUGCUUUUCUUUCACAUAAGGAAAAGCAAAAGAUUGUAACGGAAAGCCCGACCCGAG
Molecule: small RNA, 86 nt
Filed under: Epilithonimonas arachidiradicis
Lineage: Bacteria; Pseudomonadati; Bacteroidota; Flavobacteriia; Flavobacteriales; Weeksellaceae
Description: Chryseobacterium arachidiradicis Flavo-1 RNA
Rfam family: Flavo-1 RNA
Source: RNAcentral